This 506-nucleotide ribosomal RNA is filed under the name uncultured bacterium. RNAcentral's name for it is "bacterial SSU rRNA". It matches the Rfam family "Bacterial small subunit ribosomal RNA", at positions 8 to 518 of the family's 1533-position model. The record is from RNAcentral.
AGAGUUUGAUUAUGGCUCAGGAUGAACGCUGGCGGCGUGCUUAACACAUGCAAGUCGAACGGAGUUUUUAACGGAAGUUUCGGAUGGAAGUUUAAAACUAGUGGCGGACGGGUGAGUAACGCGUGGGUAACCUGCCUCAUACAGGGGGAUAACAGUUAGAAAUGACUGCUAACACCGCAUAAUAUAGCGAAACCGCAUGAUUUUGCUAUCAAAUAUUUAUAGGUAUGAGAUGGGCCCGCGUCUGAUUAGCUAGUUGGUGGGGUAAAAGCCUACCAAGGCGACGAUCAGUAGCCGGCUUGAGAGAGUGACCGGCCACAUUGGGACUGAGACACGGCCCAAACUCCUACGGGAGGCAGCAGUGGGGAAUAUUGGACAAUGGGGGAAACCCUGAUCCAGCGACGCCCGCGUGAGUGAAGAAGUAUUUCGGUAUGUAAAGCUCUAUCAGCAGGGAAGAUAAUGACAGUACCUGACUAAGAAGCCCCGGCUAACUACGUGCCAGCAGCUGC